Molecule: long non-coding RNA, 437 nt
Organism: Sphaerodactylus townsendi
Lineage: Eukaryota; Metazoa; Chordata; Lepidosauria; Squamata; Sphaerodactylidae
Exons: 2
Source: RefSeq, a predicted model, not a curated record
UGCACAGAGAGGAGUCUGUUCUGCUUUCAGUCUAGUUCCAGCAGGAGGCCCGACUGGAAUGAACAGAGAGUUGGAGAGCAAAUGAGUUUGUUGGGGCCAUUGUGGAAGAGAAACCAGGAAGCAAAGCAGUUGAAGUGCAGUCAUUAAGAAGGACCUGGCUCCCAAGAGAAUGAUGGCAUCACCAGGAAAUGACAUCUGGAAAUAUCCUACUGGAGAAAUUGAUGGGACAAACGUUUAUAAGACCCACUUACCCAGUUUUUUCUGUUUGCGCAUUGAUCCACUUUUCUACCCCAUUCAAAUCCAGUGCAAAGGUGGAAAUUUAAUAUCAGUUUUAUAUAAAGAUUAAAAAAACUCAUCAACAUUGAAUGAAUUUUUGAAGUCUGAACCUUCCACAGUUAAAUUAUGGAAAAAUUAAAAGUAGCUAACAAAAUUCCUAA